This 227-nucleotide ribosomal RNA is filed under the name uncultured eukaryote. RNAcentral describes it as "partial 18S ribosomal RNA". It matches the Rfam family "Eukaryotic small subunit ribosomal RNA", at positions 1208 to 1456 of the family's 1831-position model. The record is from RNAcentral.
AGAAAUCUCACCAGGCCCGGACACUGGAAGGAUUGACAGAUUGAUAGCUCUUCCUUGAUUCGGUGGGUGGUGGUGCAUGGCCGUUCUUAUUGGUUGAGUGAUUUGUCUGGUUAAUUCCGUUAACGAACGAGACCUUAACCUGCUAAAUAGUGACGCGGUUCAUCGAACCGUGGGCCACUUCUUAGAGGGACUAUCGGAUUCAAACCGAUGGAAGUGUGAGGCAAUAA